Zingiber officinale is the source of this 476-nucleotide long non-coding RNA. RefSeq lists it as uncharacterized. The record is from RefSeq and is a predicted model, not a curated record. The transcript is spliced from 3 exons. NCBI's taxonomy places the organism in Eukaryota, Viridiplantae, Streptophyta, Magnoliopsida, Zingiberales, Zingiberaceae.
GACCACAGAAGCCGACGCCGACCCCAAUCGCCGGUGCCCUAGCCUCUGCCCCGACUCCAGUGACGCUGAUUCUUCUCUCCUCUGUCCAGCCGAAGCCUUGUCUGCCGUAGCCCUUGCUGUGGAGUUUCCAGCGCCGCCGCUGCAACUCACAGAGCCUCCCUUUCUCUUCUCGCGGACACCUGGAGCCGCCGAAAAUCGAGCAUCCGAACCCUAGGUUGGGUCCCUGAGCGCUGGCCGGAAUUUCUCUUCUGGUGUCUCUGUUUGACAGUGCCGAAGACAAGGAGUUGUGCCCUAGUUUUGCUUUUCACAGUGGUUCUGUCUUCAUUGUGAUCUGCCCUAGCAGAAUUGGGAAGGUCACGGAUUGGUGAGGUUUGGUGUAUUGUGGGGUGUUUUUGAUUUUUGGCAGCAACCCCAUCCCGCAGCGGUAAGGACUUUGACGCGAGACGAGUAUCUCGGAGUCAGAUCGGACCUUUCUA